CCUACGGGUGGCAGCAGUGAGGAAUAUUGGUCAAUGGCCGUAAGGCUGAACCAGCCAAGUAGCGUGAGGGAAGAAUGUCCUAAGGGUUGUAAACCUCUUUUAUGCGGGGACAAAGGUGUCCACGAGAGGAUGUCUGCAGGUACCGCAUGAAUAAGGAUCGGCUAAUUCCGUGCCAGCAGCCGCGGUAAUACGGAGGGUCCGGGCGUUAUCCGGAUUUAUUGGGUUUAAAGGGUGCGUAGGCGGGCCUUUAAGUCUGCCGUGAAAUUUUGUGGCUCAACCAUGGGAUUGCGGCGCGAACUGGGGACCUGUAGUGCGCGGAAGGCAGGCGGAAUGCGUGGUGUAGCGGUGAAAUGCGUAGAUAUCACGAAGAACCCCGAUUGCGAAGGCAGCCUGC
Molecule: ribosomal RNA, 394 nt
Filed under: uncultured bacterium
Lineage: Bacteria
Description: partial 16S ribosomal RNA
Rfam family: Bacterial small subunit ribosomal RNA
Source: RNAcentral